Molecule: long non-coding RNA, 478 nt
Filed under: Struthio camelus australis
Lineage: Eukaryota; Metazoa; Chordata; Aves; Struthioniformes; Struthionidae
Description: lncRNA (ENSSCUG00000000257.1)
Source: RNAcentral
CGGCGACCCGCUCAGCGUCUACUGCGAGCCCGGCCGCCAGGUGGUCUGCGGCCUCUGCGCCUCCCUCGGCAAGCACCGGGGCCACAGCGUCCUCACCGCCGCCGAGGCCCACCAGCGCAUGAAGAAACUCAUGCCCCAGCAGCAGGCGCAGCUCCAGGAGGCCCAAGCCCGCAAGGAGAAGACCAUCGCUCUGCUGGACCAGCAGAUCGCCGAGGUGGAGGACACGGUGGCGUGCUUCAAGCGCCAGGUGGCGGAGCAGCUGGGGGUGAUGCGGGGCUUCCUGGCGGCGCUGGAGACCUCCCUGGGGGGGGGGGACGGGAAGGGGGCAACUACCUGGAGCAGCUGCGGCAGAUGGAGGCCGUCCUGGACGAGGUGCAGGAGGAGAACCAGACCGCCUUCCUCCGGGUGAGCCGCCGGGUGCUGGGUCGCUGGGUGCUGGUUGGUUGGGUGCUGGUUGCCCAGAUUGGUUGGAUGCUGG